AUCUUGGUGGAUGAGCAUGACAAUGUUAUUGGGCAUGAUUCGAAAUACAAUUGCCAUCUGAUGGGGAAAAUAGAAUCCGAGAAUCUGCUCCACAGGGCCUUCAGUGUUUUCUCUUCAACUCAAAUUAUGAAUUGCUACUCCAGCAAAGGUCUGCAACAAAGGUUACUUUUCCUUUAGUGUGGACAAAUACCUGCUGCAGUCAUCCUCUUUAUCGUGAUUCAGAGCUUACAGAAGAGAACUUCCUUGGAGUCAGAAACGCUGCACAAAGGAAAUUAUUGGAUGAAUUGGGCAUACCUCCUGAAGAGUUGCCUGUUGAUCAGUUCAUUCCUCUUGGACGCAUGCUAUACAAGGCCCCAUCUGAUGGAAAGUGGGGGGAACAUGAGCUUGAUUAUCUGCUCUUCAUUGUUCGUGAUGUUAACUUGCAUCCAAACCCCGAUGAAGUUGCUGAUGUGAAGUAUGUCAAUCGGGAUCAAUUGAAAGAACUGCUCAGGAAAGCAGAAACCGGUGAAGAUGGGGCAAAACUGUCCCCUUGGUUCAGGCUGGUUGUGGAUAAUUUUCUGCUUAAAUGGUGGGAUCAUGUUGAAAAGGGGAGACUUCAGGAGGCAGCUGACAUGAAGACCAUUCAUAAGCUGACAUAAAAGCAGUAUUGCUGGUGUCUGACGUUGGUUUAAUUAGGGAAGCUACUCCUGCAUAAUGUUUUCGCUUAUGACUUUUACUAUGAUAUAUGCUAAAAUAAGAAUUAACUCAAGGUAUUCUGUUAUGGAUUUGGGAUGUUAAGAAUUAAAGCGCGGCUUCCAAUGAUGUACAGGUGUAUCUUGGUGGAUGAGCAUGACAAUGUUAUUGGGCAUGAUUCGAAAUACAAUUGUAAGAAGCAAAGAUCCCUAAAAGCCUGUGAUGCUUGUAUGACAUUAUAUUUCAUGCACUAAAUAGUAUACUCUUUCAGAUUUAGUUCUUGAUGCUACAAAUAUGAUAUCUGUUUAAUUAGGCCAAGAGAUAUAUGGAAUAUCCUUUCUUUCCACUGUUUUUGGAUCCUUUAAUGCUUUCCAUGUUCUUAUCCUUCAUGAUCUUAAUGCACUCAUUUCCUUUUAAAGUUCAUUGAAUUUGAGCUAUGCUGCUUCUGGCAUUGCAAUUUUAUUUCGAAGAUUGUUUUGGUUUUUCAUGCUUACAUGCAAUAUUUGUUGUCAUGGUCUUGUUAAGUGAGUGAAAAGUGCUCUAUCUUUUUAAUGUAUAAAAUUGCAGUUUAUAGUAAAUAAUUUUAGAAUAAUAUAAAUAUAAUCCUUUGUUCCUUUUUAGUAGCCAAAUUCUUCCAAAUGGGAAGUUUUCUUGCCACCUUUGUCCAUUGGUUCUCCUUGAUCUCUUUGUUAAACUUGUUUAUGAGAAAUUCUCAUAACUUCGGCUAGUUAUAACCCAUGUUAUACAAGUAAUGGCGACAAGACCUCGAGCUUAGCCUGAACUAAUCUUCAAAACUUGUUAUUAGCAAGAGCAUGUUAGUUAAUUGUUGGGAAUUGGUUUAAAUCAUACUGAUCUGACCGUUCCAUGAACUGUGCUUGGUUUACGAAUUAGAAAGGUUGGACCAACCUAACCAAUCAAUGAACUGUGCUUGGUUUAGCAACAGAUUAGGAACCCGUUAGGUAAUUAUUGUUCAAUUAUAUUUGAAGCCAGCACUUAAAUAUGUGGAUGAGAUUCUUUACCAAAUUAUAUCUUUUAUGCUCUGCUUUUCUGAGGACCGACCUUGCUAAAACAAUAUAAUUAUAUCUUUUAAGCUGUUAGCUAAUUACAUUCCUAAAACAAGACAUUCAUCCUAUAAAGGUUGAACAUAUUCAAUAUGAUGCAGAAUACUUUUCUGCAUGCAUAUGUACUAUAAAGUUCUGUAGAUUCAUGAAUUUUACAGCAUAAUGCGAUUUGUUGUUCAAACACAUUCGAUUUGAUGAACAGAUUGAGAACCAACAUUCUGAAUUAUUUACUUUACAAUCUAGCAUAUGUUUCUCAUAUGAUGUUUAUCUUAAUUAUUAUUUUCAUUAAAACUAUUUUUUAAAAUUCCUUGAGGUUUACACAUUAAAUAUUUAAGGACAGAUUAUUUAGUUGUUGAUUGGUCCCUGAACCCUCUUUCUAUUGUGUAGGCCAUCUGAUGGAGAAAAUAGAAUCCAAGAAUCUGCUCCACAGGGCCUUCAGUGUUUUUCUCUUCAACUCAAAUUAUGAAUUGCUACUCCAGGUAUGUGAUUUAUAGGAUUAAAGGCAAAAAAAACUACCUUUAAACAUGUUGUUAUGUAUCAAUUUGAAUAAGAUCCGAUCAUAUUGAAAUGAUUUUUUCAUCCUUGUUCAGUUUAGAUGAUUGUUAGCAGUGUUUCCUAUGUUCAAUAUCAAAUAGUGUUUCUGGAACAUCAAUUUUUCAAUUACAUCAUUCUAGUCUUACUUGAGGAAGACAUUUGUUUUGUGAUGUAAAACUUACUUAGGACCGGCUAACCCAUGUUCAAGUGCCAUGCACACAGAACCUUUUCCUCGAGGGCCUCCCCUAUCGCUUAGGAUCGGCUAACCCACACGCGGGCGUCAUCCACAUGGAACCUUUCCCGUUAUGGGCCUCCCUCAUCUCUUAGCAUUGGCUAGCCCGUGUGCAAGUGCUGUCCACAUGGAACCUUUCCCCUCAUGGGCCUCCCCCAUCUCUUAGGAUCGGCUAGCCCAGGUGCAAGUAUCAUUCACAUGGAACCUUCCCCUUACAGGCCUCCCCUAUCUCUUAGGAUGUAAAACUUACUUAUGAAAUAUUUUAUGUAAGAUUCAUGGCUACCCUGCUUGAGACCUUAGAGUUACUCUUUUCAAAUCUUUCUUGAUUUCCAAAUGUUCAAAUCUAGGCUUGUCCAAGUAGAUUCAGGCUUAGAAUAUUGGAGUUUGCUUGUUUUCGACAUACUAGAUAUGCAUGGCCCUAACCUGGCCUGACCGAGCCGUGGAUGUGUGAACUAUCAUUCUUAUUGGCAAUUUGUUCAUUCGUGUUGAAUCCAUUUGCCCAUUAAUGGCACACUUCUACAUGGACUACCUUUUUCUGGAUGUUGCAGUUUAAAGAAUUGCAUAUUUCAGGGAUUUAUGAGAUGAUAAAAGAAUAAACAUCAAGAUUUUUAGUCAAUCUAUGUGUGAUCUUAAUCUAGUAUGGCAUAACAGAAGAUGAAGAGGUGUCAGACGUUGGUGUGAGAUGGAAACAAUAUUCUGAAGUAACUUUAGACCCAGGCAGAAUACCCUGGUGAACCAUGGGCAAAAAAAACCCACAAGAAAACUUUGACAGAAAACUAAAUUUUAAGCAGAACGUUUCUUCGCAUGUUGAUCCCACAAAAUUUUGAUGUGUGAAAUAAGUCAGAAUUUGAUUGAGAGCGUCCAUGGGUCUUGCAACAAAGCCAUUUUGUUUGGAACCAAAAAGGUCACAAGGCUGACAGUUGCAUGGACAUUUCUGGCUUCGUCAUGACUAUUGAGAUACUCAGUUUUGCUUAUAUGUUAUCUUCAGAAUGAAAAUUCAGUUUUUUUUAAAUAUAUAAUGGCAACCUGAAGGUGUACUUUAUAUGAAUGUCAUUGUAUGAAAUCUUGAUUUAUGAUUUAAGCACAAGUCUUGAGUUUUUUUUGUAAGAAAUAUUCUUUUCAUGAUCCUUCCACCUUUAUGGAUAAUUUGUUCUAAUAAAUGUAAAGUCAAACUCUGUUUUGUCUUUCUGAUAUUACUCUGGGAAUCAGUUUAAUGAAACUCAUGCUGUUUUUUCUCUUUUGAUUUUUAUGCUGGCAGCUAGUUUGAUGAAACUCAUGAUGUUAUCUUUGAUUGUUAGCUCUUGUUGAAGUUCAAUGUUUGUGUUGCUGCUUUUAAAAUGGAUUCUACUUUGCCACUUUUGUGAUCAGAACUACCUUUACUUGAGAACUGAAAGUACAAUAUAUCUUGUAUUUUUUUUGCUUACCUUUCAUCUCGCUCUGCUAUAUAUGUGUUGCGAAAAGGUCAGUCUUGUUCGCUGGAACUUUCUGUUUGUUAGUUUGAGGAAAGUUGCAGUUUUCUUUGGCAAGCUAGGCAUAGAGCAUAUCUGGUUAGUUUUGGUUAGCUCAUUUAAAAGACAUCCCUGAUAAAGUUGUAUCGAUAUCAUUUACAAUAUGCAACUUACUGCAUCUCAUUUGUUUGGCUUAAUUGUUUUGUUGUUUGGUUGAUGUUGACCAGCCAUGACUUUCUGUUAUAUUUUAAACUAUUGUGUAAACUGGUUCUUAUUUCUUAUGUCAUCACCUGGCUAAUUUUUUUUGUAUUCAUAGAUGCCUCUGUUUUUUUUUUUGACAGCAAAGGUCUGCAACAAAGGUUACUUUUCCUUUGGUGUGGACAAAUACCUGCUGCAGUCAUCCUCUUUAUCGUGAUUCAGAGCUUACAGAAGAGAACUUCCUUGG
RNAcentral lists this long non-coding RNA (4392 nucleotides) under Phoenix dactylifera (date palm). RNAcentral describes it as "long non-coding RNA (PDAC_LNC001412)". The record is from RNAcentral. Lineage: Eukaryota; Viridiplantae; Streptophyta; Magnoliopsida; Arecales; Arecaceae.